GGGCGAUUGGCGCAGGGGUAGCGCACCACUAUGACACGGUGGGGGCCAUUGGUUCAAAUCCAAUAUCGCCCACCA
Molecule: transfer RNA, 75 nt
Filed under: Coriobacteriia bacterium
Lineage: Bacteria; Bacillati; Actinomycetota; Coriobacteriia
Description: tRNA-Val
Rfam family: tRNA
About the family: Transfer RNA (tRNA) molecules are approximately 80 nucleotides in length.
Source: RNAcentral